Molecule: long non-coding RNA, 847 nt
Filed under: Salvia miltiorrhiza (redroot sage)
Lineage: Eukaryota; Viridiplantae; Streptophyta; Magnoliopsida; Lamiales; Lamiaceae
Description: long non-coding RNA (SMIL_LNC007083)
Source: RNAcentral
GCCAGGAGGAUGAAAUUUUCGUAUGAACAGAUGUGCUACAUCCUCCCAUCUAGGAUUCGCCCCCAGCUGCAGCGUCUGGUACCGAAUGGAAGCUACGGGGCGAGCUAUGAUAGAUGUGCCGAAUGGAAGCGUCACUUUUCACGUAGCUGAUGCGCAUGGGUUCUCUACCUCUGUUCGUGUUGGGCGGUCUGUCACCCCCGCUGCGUUUAAUGUUCAUUGAGGCUAUGAGGUAUCGUCGAGCUCUAGACGUUAAAUUAAGCACUUGUUGGGAGGUAACCCAACCGUUUUCUUUGUUUUUGUUUUUGUUUUUUUUCUUUCUUUCAUUUAGUUGCUUUUUGUUUCUUUGUUUUCGUUGUUCUCUUUGUUUUGGGGUUUUAGUGCAGUUGAGCUUGGAAGAUGCGGGAAUUCGCGCAUUGUCCAUAUCACCACCAUGGAGCAUGUGUUUCUGUGAGUAGUGACACACAUAUCAUCAUCCCUCCAAACUUAUUUUCGAACUUAUGUUCUGUAAUAAGAUUGGGAGAGGGGGGGUGAGAGUAGAUAUGUGUAUCACUUUUAUUAUUUUUGUUGGUUUUUUUUGUUUUAUCUUGCUUGGUUGGUGGUGUGUGAUUUUUUUGAGUUGAUUAUUGCUCCAUUUGAUUUUUGGUGAGAUGCCAAUGAUGAAUUCUGUGAAAAAAAUUGGAAUUUGAUUUUCUUUGAUGAAUAACUGGAACUAAUUUGCAUAAUUCUAGAAUGAUUUUAACCUUGACUUUUGGACGUUGAAUAAACCUGUGAGAUUUUGAGCCAUAACUGUUUAUCAUACACAGUUUAUUAUUUGUUAUGAGUUUUGUCAUGCAUGAGGUGAUCUUCU